UUGCCCAUCGGGACCGCGGACACCUGCUUAGAUUUUU
Molecule: non-coding RNA, 37 nt
Filed under: Bos taurus (domestic cattle)
Lineage: Eukaryota; Metazoa; Chordata; Mammalia; Artiodactyla; Bovidae
Description: XIST RNA A repeat
Rfam family: XIST RNA A repeat
Source: Rfam by way of RNAcentral